RNAcentral lists this ribosomal RNA (227 nucleotides) under Taenia crassiceps. RNAcentral describes it as "partial 12S ribosomal RNA". The record is from RNAcentral. Lineage: Eukaryota; Metazoa; Platyhelminthes; Cestoda; Cyclophyllidea; Taeniidae.
UUUGUUAUGUUGGUGUAUGUCUGAUUUAAUAUUAUUGCUUAAUGGUUAAAGUUUGUGUAUAUUUAUUUAAGUCAAGUCUAUGUGCUGCUUAUAAAAGUAUUCAUGCGUUACUUUAAUAAUAUGUUAGAUGAAAUAUUAAUUGAUUUAGGACUUAAUAGUAAUGUUUAAUUAGUUUGUAAAUGUGAAUAUAGUUUAGCUCAGGUACACACCGCCCGUCACCCUCGGUU